AAGUAAUGAAGUAAAAUUUACAUUUAGUUUCGACCUAAAAUUAGAGGUAACUCCUUACUUU
RNAcentral lists this transfer RNA (61 nucleotides) under Malcus setosus. RNAcentral's name for it is "tRNA-Arg". The record is from RNAcentral. Lineage: Eukaryota; Metazoa; Arthropoda; Insecta; Hemiptera; Malcidae.